ACAGCUUCCAUGAUGUGUGAUAGAAAGGAUGAAGGACAUUUUUCCCUUGGUCAGAGAAAGAAGUAACUUGCUUUCAUUCUGGAACCCAGUUUGGCAUAGAAUUUACUCUGUAGCUGAGGAUGGCCAUGAACUUAAAACCAUUUUGACACAGCCUAUUUAGUGCUGGGAUUAAAGGCAGAGAGGGGGAAGGCAGAGACAGGAAGAUCCCUGGAAGCUUGCUGGCCAGCUGAUCAGUCACUAUGGGGGAACUCCCAAGACAACAAGAAACUGUGUCUCAAACAACAGAUAGAAGGUAUCUGAAGAUCAACACCUGAACUUGUCCACUUGACUCCAGACACCUGCCAUAUUUCAUAUGCAUUUAUAUUCAUACAUACACAUCAAAUUUAUU
Molecule: non-coding RNA, 388 nt
Organism: Peromyscus maniculatus bairdii (prairie deer mouse)
Lineage: Eukaryota; Metazoa; Chordata; Mammalia; Rodentia; Cricetidae
Source: RefSeq, a predicted model, not a curated record